RNAcentral lists this long non-coding RNA (1985 nucleotides) under Homo sapiens (human). RNAcentral's name for it is "non-protein coding lnc-KLHL28-3:5". Lineage: Eukaryota; Metazoa; Chordata; Mammalia; Primates; Hominidae. The record is from RNAcentral.
UGCACUUAAUACCCUUCGGGUACAGAUAGUUGGGCUGUAAGAUCCAUAAAUGUGCAUGCUAUCCCUCACGUGGUCACCACAGUGACAGUGUGCACUCUGAGUUCUGUUACCAGCCAAAAGCCAGUCCGUAUCUGCUCCAUGUGCCAAAUGGUUUGACCUACCCCCGGCAGAAGAUGGCAUCAGUACUGCAUAUUCCACAAAUCCCUGCUCUGUGAGCCUUGGUAAGGUUUUCCUAGCCAAUCUGGCCUGCACAGCAUUCAUCACUCCAUCUCCAUUAUCUUGCAGUUCAACUGUAUCCACAGCUUUAAAAAGGAUGCUGGUUUUACCUGAGCCCAUUGAUGAUGCCAAUACGGCAAAAGCUUCUAAAGCUGCUUGGCGUACCCUGCGUUUGCUAUCUACAAGAGCUGGGGCAAGAUCAAAGGACAGUUUGGGCAAGUCAAAAUCCUCACUAGGAUAGGUCAGCAGGGAGCAGAUGCAAAUGUUCACCACCUCCUCUCUCACUCUGGAAUGCUUAUGUUUGAGAUGUUCCAGGAGUAAACAAAGCACCUGCUGAGGUCCUACUUCCUUCAUUAGCUUGAGGAAGAUUUUCAUGUAUUCUUGUUUGAUCACCAACUUGUUGUCCGCCAGCACUUUGACAGAAGCUGCUAUAACUGGUCCCAAGAACUGCUGUACCUGCUCUCCAAGGCGAAUAACCAGUAAAUGCAGGACUUCAAGUGUGCCAUGCACCACUUUGAAGUUAGAAUCGUCUAACAAAUUAUAUAGCAAACUAAUGAAGCCAACAAGACUAGAAUGAGGAGUAGAACUAGGGUUAAAUUUUCCCAGCACCUGCUUUAGUUCUUCGACGGCCUGGGUCCGGUUCUUAUAGUCUUCCUGAUCCAAUAAUCGUGAAUGCAGCUCCUGAGGAAUAAUCCCAAAUUUAAGAUUGCUGUUGGAAAGAGUCACUGCACAGGGAAGGGGAUCUUCAGGAAAUCCAGAGGCUUCAAGUUCCAAAUAAUAAGGAACCUGACUUCCAAACUGGGACUCCAGGCGGCGAUUGUAGUGUCUCCUCAGGGCAGAGGGCAGACGAGAAAUGUAAGAUUGAAACCUGUCUUGGCCAAGUCGCUCCCCAAUUUGUUGAAGUGCGGAGAAAGCUGUCUCAGAUUCUUCUUCUGUCUCCUGAUCACCAAGCUUUCGGGCUAGGGAUAUUAUCACCUCGGUGAGAUCCAGACCAAGCAACAAGUCCUCAGUAGUAAGCAAGAUGGGAAGCAGUAGUGCUGUGGAAGCUCUAAGUCGGGCAUCGGUACUUUCCAGUCCUUGUUGUAUAAGCGUUCUCAGCACCUCUCCAGGACUACGUUUCAGACAUAUAUGAAGGAUCUGCAGCGCAUCUUUCCGCAGGGCUGGAUUCUCUUCCCGUAACGAGACAACUAGUUGAGGCAAAAGUGCUAAGCUAAAGGCCUCUUCAAGCUGGCCUGCCUCCCCCUGACCCCGGAGAACGUCCGAGAGAAGUUGCAAGCAGAGCCGCUUCUCAUCACUACCUCCUUCCACAAGCACUCGGCCCAGUGCCCGAUACAAAGCUUCCUUGCGUCGGGGGAAGCCAAGUCGACCGCCCCGCCGCGGCAAAGCAGCUUGCAAAGCCUGGAAGGCCUCAGAAGGAUCCCGGGCAGUGCGGAGGAGUUGAAGGAGCCGAGUGUCCUCUUCAUCUCCCCCUGACAAACCGCCUCCAGACUCAGACCAGCUGCUUGAGACUGCCUCCGAGGGCAUCAAGAGGGCCGAGGCCAGAGGCGAAGUUGUAGUGGGGCAGGAACCGUGGUCCCCCGCAGCUCCACGGAAGUAGUAGUUUUUCUCUCCUCUCAUAAUGCCCCCAACUCGACUAUCAUCGGUCUCUGGGGCGGAAGGACGACUGCGGCUCUGGAGCCGAUAGGUAGAGAGGCAAAAGAACAGCUUCAGCCUGCCGCCAGGCCGCCCCCAACUCCGGGAGGCAGCCUCUGGCAAAAUGGCCCCCGUCU